AUAACUAUUUUUCUAUUUAUUUGAAGGAACUGGUACACUUUGGAAAUUCAGCGGCACAAAGUACCCUGCCAUAACUUGAGAGGCAUUAUUCAGUAAAAAAGAAAGGAAAUAAGAAGGAAAAAAAAAAUCCUGUUUCAAACACUGCAUUACAUAAUUUUACCUGCCCAAACAGACCAUUUACAAAUAUUAGGUCAACAAACUGCUAACAUCCAUAAAAAGGUAGCUUUCUUACCAAAAUGCAAGAAUUUAAAAGAUUGGUAUCUAAACAAAAGA
This is a long non-coding RNA of Sapajus apella (tufted capuchin), 273 nucleotides long. RefSeq lists it as uncharacterized. Lineage: Eukaryota; Metazoa; Chordata; Mammalia; Primates; Cebidae. The transcript has 2 exons. The record is from RefSeq and is a predicted model, not a curated record.